UUUCCCAUGUGGUUUUCUGAAGUGAACAUUUACUCUGUGUUCUUUAACAGAUGAGAAAGCUUCACGGCUGUGAGUAACUUGAAAGAGACACCCGUGGGUUGCUGACCUCUGUCAGUGAUGGUGUUUGCAGAGAUUGCAGCUGCUAUUUAUCUGCCUGCACACAGAUCACUUCACAGUUCUCCCAGACAGUUUUCAACCACGCAUAGUGGGAGCUGUCCUAUUUUCCUUGUUGUUGUCCUCAUCCUGUGUAUGGGAACUGUUGAAUCAUGGCCUGAACCUCUGAUUGACCACCUGAGGCGAGUGCUGAGUCAGCCGCAGGGGCACAGGUGAAGGCAAUUUCACCUGAGUGACCGGAAGGGGUGGAUCCUGGCUGCACCCCUCCUAGGCCCCAUUAAGGGCUGACUCCCAAGGAGGAUGGAUCUCUAUCUGGAGAUCACUCCUCUUGGAGCCCUUCUGUGAGCCCAGGACACAGGUUUCGUGUUUAUAGAACGAAGAAGGACAUCUUGUAAAGGCGCCUUUUCAUGUGCGGAGAGACCAUAAAAAUAACAAGACCCCAGAAUGUUAAAGAGAAUCACGAAUGCACAUGGAAAAUGCUACGCUAAUCACUGAAUUUCUGCUCCCAAAUACCUCUGUUUACUGAGUUGCAGCCAGCCCCGAUGAGCUUGGAGUAUGCCAGCAAAAGUGUGCAUAUCAGAAAGCUGCUGUGGAGUACAUGUUGUGAAUUGUAUGGGAACUGUUGAAUCACGGCCUGAACCUCUAAUUGACCACCUGAGGUGGGGAAGAGGACAUAACAGAACGAAAGCCAAGAAGAAAAUUGCAGCAAAGGGAUGGAGGAGUGCUGCUUAACCGUCUGUCUCCUGAAGUCUUCAGAUGUUGGCUAAGAUUUCCUCUGCUGGAUGUGUAUGUCAGACUUCUACAAAAUCAACCCCCGCUCAACUACUCUGAGCUGGUAGGCAUCCUAAGUAAUGCUGUUGAAUAAACUGAAGUAAUUUGGGAUACAAUUUGGCAUAAGAGAUCACAAUUACUCUGCUGAGAUUAUUCCAGCAUUACAUCCACUUAUGAAACUACAAAAGAAAUCUGUCCACUGAAAUUCAUCUUCUAUGAAAGCUGCAGGAAGUGCUGACUGUCUACUUCCAGUGUGCCUGCCCAAAGGGAGACCUCUCUGCUGGAUCCCAACAAGAGGAGAUGACAAACAAGACAAGCGCAUUUCGUAGCACCCAUGACUCAGAUGGAGCAGAUCAGCUCUUCAGCUAUUGCUUCAUUAACCAAGGCUUGUUUGCUACAGACAUCACCAUCAAGAGUUUCCAGAGAUGCCACUGAAAGGUGUCCAUAUGUGUGCGGUGGGGAACCUGGCCAGCUCGCAGAGCCGCCUCUCCUCCAAGAACUGCAUACUGAGGCUUCUCAGUGUUGCAGAAAAAGCCACUGUUGCUUCCAAACUGCUAUAGGAACUGACAGGAGCGCUCCAUAUCCAGGUGCUGACUGACCACUGAAGAGCAGUUUGUAUGAAGAGCCUCAAAGGAGCUUCCAAAAGAAACUCAAAAACCUUGAGGUACAUUAUUCAGCUUUUCUUCAGCUUGUGAUGAAAAUGCCUUAACUUCGCCAUUGCUUAAUUCAUUUCCAAAGUAAAUUAAAUAAAUACCGGAAUAGCUAAAACUUGAGUUCUGUUGCCCUGCAGUUUAAUGUGGUAGAAGUACUCUGUUCCCACAUGUAGGUUAGUUGUUUCAAGUUAAUUUUCUUGAGUGAUUCUGAGAAAACUUUUCAUAUGUCUUCUUUUAAUUUGUUUUCCUUUCUUACGUAUUUCCUUCAGCUUACAACCUGGAGGAUGUUUGUCUACAUUUGCGAGGUAAAAUGGAGUUAUGCUUCAAAAUAAAGGAAAAUGCUGUGGUCUGUGGGUUAGUUCAUGAAGACCUCGAGUUUACUAUGGUAACUCCUUUUACAUUUUUAAUUAUAUCGCACCCUUAAUAUUUUGAAGAAAAGGAUUAGCAUACAGAGAGCGGAAAACUUUAUGCACUUUCUUCUUUGAAUGCUAAAAACUCUAGAAUUCAUUUCUGUUUCCUGAUAUGCACUUGAGAAAAAAUUGAGAUGACAGCAUGAUGUUUGAUCAUGACUCAUUAAAAUGGUGCCCAGGCUUCCUGCUCCGACACAACAGACAGUUGCGUAGCUGUUUGCAACUUUGACUUAAUAGGAUUUUGCAAUGCAGUUUCACAAUGCCACUUUCUCCCACUUUGCAUUUAAGAAUCCAGUCACUUACUGUUUAAAUAUCCCAAUAAGCUUCUGAGAGGAGACUUUCAGCUCUCCCCGCUUGUAGCUUUUCCUAAUCUUUCACCAUCCGACAUGUCCCCUGUGCCUCGGGCCAAGCGCUCUGAGCAGUACAUCCAUGGACGUUGUUUGAGUUUACGGGAGUUGCACCUCCCAGUAACACAUUCUUAUCCCUUUACAUCACAAAGUGAACCGCCAGCCCCAUUCAAUCAUUGAUAGUCUUUGGUGUCUCUUCAUUGCGCAGUGGUUAUUGCUAUAAACAGUCUUCACCAAAGUUCCCGUGUUUUUCCUGCUCUGCCAUAGAGGAGCCACCAAGGUUCCUGUUUGUCACCAGGUGACCAGCACUGUUUUGGUAAACUGUUCAACCCAUUUGAAGUGCCAUGGAGCCAAAUUGUGGAAAGGGCUUGUUCCAUCUUGCUGGCCUGAGCGCACCCAGCGUGGGGCUGGGAAUACCGGGAACACAAGUGGUUAUGAAAGGAAGAAAAGUGAAAAAAAGGGUUUUACUGAGAAGUAUGAUGUCACCCAGAUCACAGUCUAUUUCUGGAACUAAGCUGUGAAACCCAUGACACAUUUUGACACAUAAAUGUUGCCAAGUAAAACUGAUAAUAUAUAAUUGUUUAAUAGGGUCACAGCCAACUGUUUUCCAGAUAAGGAGCUGAACUCUUCCAUGCAAUAUAGCAUUUGUGGAACGUUACACCUAGUUGGUUCCAUGCUUUCAUUGGCUCUGGGAUUACUUCCUAUCAUAUUUAAAUAAAAAGACUAGAUUAUUGGGUACCAUAAGAACAAUGGAUUGUUUAAUGGUCUUAUGGCACUUAUCUUAAGUCAAUACGAAAGUUUUGAGUUUCUAGGGCUAUGUCAAGGGCAGUGAAACAAGGACUGCAUUCAGUGAAUUACUCAUUUGUUUAUUUUUUAAUGCACAUUUAAGUAUCUCAUUUUGGGGACUCAGAUAUACAUAGAUGAUUCAGUUAAAUGCAGAUUAAUUUACCAAAAAAAAAAAAAAAAAAGAGAAAGAAAUUGUGCUUGUCUGAGAAACAGAAUCUGGUAGAAAAUAUUAUUAUGCUAUUAUGUGCAAUUUGUUCUAGAUAAAAGUAAUGAUCAAACAACUUCCUUGUCUCUUUGCCAUGGUGCAAAUUUCCUGUGAUAGAGGUCUAUUUUGUAUAGAAUUCUUCAUCCAAGCUUUGUUCCUAGAAGCUUGACAGGGAUCCAUAAUGUAAUUACAGUUAUUAGGAGUAAGUAAUACCAGUAAAAAGAGAUGCUAUAGAAGUGUAGAUAUGGAAGGGAAGAGAUAGGUUCUGAUAUGAAACAGAGAGAGACUGUAGCCCAGAAAUGUAUGAAAAUUGCUCAGGACACAGAGGCAAAGAGCAAAGGCCAGGUCUCCAGGUGUGCAAGGAACAAGAGGGGGACCGAAAGGCAAAGCUUGGGCUUCAAUAGCCACGUCAGAGUUUCGGAGAACCAGAAUUCUUAGGCUGUCCUGGAGACUAGAGUCCUAAGUUCUUCUCGUUAUAAGUUUCUUAAUGUCCUUAUUUCUAUCUUUACAGACAGUCAUAUGGUUUUAACUAUAAGGUCAUAAAACCUUACAGUGUUUCCCUUUUAAAACCAAUGCUUUCUAAUCCUUAAUUGCUGAAAUGUGUGAUGAAAACAAAACAAAAUUAUUUUCUUCCUGGAUCUGAUGUGGACUGCUGGAUUAAUUUGCAGCUAUGGCCAUUUUGCUCCCUUAUAGAGAGAAAAAUAGGUUGAUUGUUUCCUUCAAACACAAAAUCACAUUUCUUUAGCGCUGUCCUUUCCCUCUCACUGUGAGAAAGGAGAGAAUGGUUUCCGCCACAAGCACACUGCCCUUCUGCCUUUCAUGGUGUCUGAAAGUCCAUUAACAGUUCAAACCAGAGCAGUUUGUGUUGGUGGUGUUCCCAUUUCCUCAAAAGCAGCUUCUCUGCAAUGACCCCAUCCCUGGAGGCAUUCAAGACCAGGCUGGAUGUGGCUCUGGGCAGCCUGGUCUGGUGGUUGGCAACCCUGCACAUAGCAGGGGGGUUGAAACGAGAUGAUCAUUGUGGUUCCUUUCAACCCAGGCGAUUCUAUGAUUCUAUGGCAUGAGGGCAGCAGUGUGGAAGUGACGCUCUUAUCACUGCAGAGGAGCUUGAGGGUCAUUCCAUGGCCAGGCCCUGGGUGGCCAGCACUGAGCUCCCUUGACUAUACGGGCUUUAGCCAGCUGCUCACUUGGCUUCCAGCACCAACCUGCCGUGCCCAUCCAUCUUCAACCCUCACUGUUGCGGAAAGUGAUCUGAUCUUCACUGGACUGCAUUGCAUGUAAUUAAGGAAAGGACAUAUAAGAAAGAACCACCCAUUCCUCCUUGAGUCCAGUUCUUUCCAUCAGUCUCUCUUCACCAUGCCAGCACUACUUUCUUUUCCCUUGCUUAAUAUACAGUACCGUGCCAUUUCAUUGAACUGGCAGAUAAGCUUGGACUCUGCUGUCCCUUAGCUGCCUGCCUUGAGCCAAAGCUUCCUGCUAUUUUCCUACCAUACACUGAUUUAUCUUUUGCUUUCUCAAGUAACGCUUCCCCAAAGAACAUGUCACGGGCUGAAUGGGAGCAUGGAAGCGGGCUGCCAGAAGGCACUUAUCUAUUGUUCUUCCUUACCCAAGAUGGCAUGUUAAUGCCAAAGGACUCAGUGCAGCUGCCAACUCUGCAUCAGCUGAGUCUUAACCUUUACCAUGCGUACAGCAGCCGUUUGCUGGAGACCAGCUAGCGCCAGAGUGCAGACUUGCCUGCCAAAGCUUGGAUUUCUGUGUAAUUGGUUCCCAUGUCACAGAGCUUACAAGGUCCAAUUACAUCCCCUCACUGUAGCAGGAGCCUUUCACUUGCUGUGGGGCUGAGUUUGAUGACCAUGCAUCUCCUGUUGGAUAGCAGCUAGAGGACCAAGUUCAUCCACCUGCAUCCUUGGGCUUCCUACUACUUGAACACAUGUCUUUGGGUGCCAAGCCCAUCGCAAAAGUAGAAGCUAAGCCAGAGGAAUGCAGAUCUUAUUAAAUGGAGAAGGGGGUGGUCAUUUGGAAAGCUUAGAAAUGUAGAGAAAUAGGUGUGUUUCUUGGUGGAGAAGGUUUGAUGGUGGGCAUCGCAGCUAAUGUUGCAAUGUAGAGAUGGAAAAUCUGUGUUUAUAUCCUGAAUAUCAACUCUUCAUUCUAGCUGUGGGAAUCAUUACACUUGUGGAAACAGGUGGUUGUUUGCUGCAGUGCUCAUAGAAGGGCUCUCUCCCCUACGAGAACCCCAGAUUGCUGUGAGAAAGCUGUUUGUACAUAAGUAACUGAUAUGCAUUUUUCAGAUUCCUAAUGUCUAUGAAGCUUCAAUUACCCAGUAAAGAACCAAAAUAAACCCCCCCAAAACGGUAUCAUGUGACCAAUUCAUUUAAGAAACUGCAUGUCCCCUCAACACUUGAGGAUCUGUAUGUAGCUAGCCCUACUAUGCCUGUUUUUCUCUCAUUUCUGGCCUCUCUAUACAGAUGGGGACCUUAGAAAUGAAAAGAUUGAAUGUCUUAUGACAGGCAAGCAAGGAGUCUGUGGCUGAAUCAUGGAGAAAACUCAAAUGUCCUGAGGAAUAAACACUCUGAGCAAUUUCUAGGUGACAGAAAACCAACUAGGAAAAAGCCCAGCAGGCCACAGAAAAUCAGAGAUAAGGGAAACAUCUGAAGGACUGGUGUAAAGCUACUCUGAAGCUGCCUCUCUGUGUGAUUAAGCAACUCCAAUUAGCAGCAGUGUCACAAACAGAACGCAUGAGGGCAUUUCUGCCAUUCCUGAGCCCUCAGCAAUCCGCUUGCUUUGGUAUUCUACGAUAGUCCCACCUCUCUUGGAGCCACGUGCAAAGCUCACAGACAUCAGCAGGAAUUGGAGCUGUUCUUAUUUCGCUUGUGAGCGCAGUAAGUUAUUGGUUGGGGAAAUGAGUCAGGAAGAAAAUAGUAAAAAAAAAAAGCAACCCCAAACAUCAGUCCUUGGUUCUGCCAUCUCCUGAGGUGCCCCAUGGUCAGCGUAGGAGACAGCGCCUCGGGGGUGGUGGGAAUUGUUGCUGUAGGUCUCCAGAGUGGAAUUUGCCCUGGAUGGAGACAGCACUGGUAGCUGCCCUACGUGCAUGGCUCUCCUCCAUUCCUACAUCCACUGACCUCUGCACCAAAAGCCCAUCCCAGUGCGUGUGUCCACAGCCUGAAAAAGCAGGCAGAUGCCAUGAGCAGGGAGAAGAGAGAAAAAGCAUUGGCAACUGGAGAUGUGGGUCUAGAACUCUUAACAAUAAGCUAGUUAUCUUUGCCUCUGGUUACCACUGGGCAGCGAUUCCCUCGGCACAGCAGCAUGAUGUUGGGCCACACGCUGGCCAAGGCAGUGCCCAAUUGCCCACAGCCUGGAUGGGAACUCUUCCUUGAUGCAUCAGGGCAGGCUCCAGCCUCCAUCCCAGAGGCACCAACAGCCAAACACAGGUUUCUCUUCCUCAGGAGCACGGUGCUCACGCUGCUCGCUUGUGGCUAUGAACAGAGGGGAAAACAAUGCGAUAAGUGCAGAAUGG
Molecule: long non-coding RNA, 6797 nt
Organism: Gallus gallus (chicken)
Lineage: Eukaryota; Metazoa; Chordata; Aves; Galliformes; Phasianidae
Source: Ensembl